AUAGAUUGAAUGAAUUAGCUAUAUUAUCAUUUGAAAAGGAAUUAUUAAAAUAAAUUGAUUAUAAAACAAUACUUAAUAACUUUGCAUCUGAAAUAGCUAGAAAAGUAUAUUUUAAAUAAAACUACAUAUGAUGAAAAAAAAAUUUAGGGCCCCUCUCUUAAGUUUCGCUUUAGGCCCCCAAUGUUGUUGAGUCGGCCCUGGAUGUCCUAUAUUCUAUGGAAGAAAUAAGACUUCCCACUAUGAUUCAGUGAUUAAAAAGGUGGGAAAAAGAAUACAGGUAUGGCAAGGAAAAAUGUUAUCAUUUGGUGGAAGAGCUGUUCUAAUUUCACCUGUGUUGCAGAGUAUUCCUAUACAUUUAUUGUCUGCUUUAUCUCCUCCAAAAGGGGUGAUAAGACAGAUACAUAUGAUGCUCAAUAGAUUUUUCUAGAAAAACACUACAGACAGUAAAAGGAAGCACUGGAUAAGUUGGUAUAAAUUAUGUCUACCUAAGGAGGAAGGAGGAGUUGGUUUUAGAUCUCUUGCUGAUAUAUCUAAAGCACUAUUUUGCAGAUUAUGGUUGAUUUUCAGAACAAAGACUACACUUUGGAGCUCUUACAUGGGUAAUAAAUACUGUAAAAAGUUACAUCCAGUAAUUGCUCAGAGUAAGGGAGCAUCCGCCACAUGGAGAACAAUGAUCAAGAUUAGAGAGUUGGUAGAACAUCAUAUAUGGUGGAAAAUUAAAGGGGGAGACUCAAGUUUUUGGUUCGAUAACUCAAGGAGCGCUAUAUUACUUCAGUCAUGAAACCAGUCAAGAGGAAGAGAUAGAGGUCAAGGAAUUUGCAGAUCAACUGGGUUGGAAAGUAGACAAACUAAGAAAGUGGUUAUCAGAAGAUAUUGUACAACACAUAUUGAAAACAAUCCUAAGUCCAAUUUUUGAUGGUAUACUGGACAGAACAUGGUGGAUGCUGAAACAGAGGAAAGAGAGGCAAAGUAGAUUUCUUAACAUGUGGGAAAAGAGACUUCCAUUAAAAAUAUCUUUCUUUAUUUGGAGAGUUUGGAAAUAUAGAAUACCCAGUGAUGAUAUAUUGAUGAGAAUGGGGUGACAUGUCAUCAAGAUGUUGGUGCUGUGAUAAUCCAACACAAGAAACUGUGGAACAUCUUUUUUUUAACCUCUCCAAUAGCUUAUAAGCUAUGGAGGAUAUGUUUGCUCAUUUUGCCGGUCUAAGAUUAGAAGGACAAAACCUAAAUCAAGUGCUAAUAACAUGGUGGACAGCACACGCAGGUCACAAACUUCAACAAAUUAUGAAGAUUAUGCCUGCAAUUAUACUUUGGGAAAUAUGGAAAAGAAGAAAUAUCAUCAGACAUGGGGAAACAUGACAUAUAAUAAACUUUUCUAUCAGGUUACCCUCAAUGUAUGGCAAUUUGCAAGAUCAAGUUUUCCAAGUCUGAAACAAUUUCCCACCAACUGGUCAGAUAUGGUAAAAUUCUUAGAGAAUUACAAGCCAAGGAUAUACUACAAAAAGAUCAUAUGGAUGCCCCCAAAUUCAAAUACUAUAAAAUGCAACACAGAUGGAGCAAGUAAGGGCAAUCCAGGCAAGAGCUCUCAUGCUUAUUGCCUAAGGGAUCGGGAAGAAAAUUUAAUCUAUGCACAAGCAGAGGAGAUACCAGAUACAACUAACGUGGAAGCAGAAGCAGUGACAAUAAAGGAAACAAUAUAUCACCGUACAAGAAGGGGAUUUUCGAGAGUAACAAUAGAAACCGAUUCAUUGCUAUUGAAAAACAUACUACAAGGAAAUUGAGAGAUACCAUGAAACAUUAGAAUUAUAGUGGAAGAGACUCUAUCACUGAUGCAAUAUUCUACGAUUAAUAUUGAACGCAUUUAUAGGGAAGGGAAUAUAUUAGCCGACUACUUAGCUAAUUAUGCAUUUGAAGUGACAGGGAGACAACAAUUUAAUACAUACAGCGAGCUACCAUUGCAGGGGAGGAAAAUCCUCAACUUGGACAAACACUCGGUACCGAAUGUAAGAAUCAAGAACAAGGCAAUCAGGUGAACAACACACAAAUAAUUGAUGAUCAGGAGUAGAUACAUUACUAGAAGACAGUAAAGAGUUCACAGGCACGGCAAACGAAGCCAGAGCACACAAGUCACAACUACGCUGCUCAUGGAAAACAAAGCCAGAGCACAACAACUACACUACUAACACAGGUUACAAAUCUAAAACAAGAUAAGUGUAAGGCGAAAAACAAGGGUAUGAGGACAAGAUUCAAAGAAGAUAACUCUGUCAUAGAUGAAACCAUACAACAACAAGUGACUACCUGGAAAAUCGACAAACAAAAAUGAAAACAAUUGAGAAAUGCAGAUUGAGGAAUUGAAAGGAAAGGAAAAAGGUGAACUUACUGGUUAAAUCCGCAGAAGCUCACGAUCUGCUUUGAGAGAGACAUGACUUUCCUAAUUUCAAAUGGUAAUUUUUGUGGCUUUGUUUUUUAUUUUAGCUUUAGUUUGUCUUUUACUUAGCUUUUGGGUCCACCACUAUUGGGUUGGGCAAAUCUCUCCUCUUUUUCACUUAAUC
RNAcentral lists this long non-coding RNA (2549 nucleotides) under Solanum tuberosum (potato). RNAcentral describes it as "long non-coding RNA (STUB_LNC004595)". The record is from RNAcentral. Lineage: Eukaryota; Viridiplantae; Streptophyta; Magnoliopsida; Solanales; Solanaceae.